RNAcentral lists this ribosomal RNA (634 nucleotides) under Streptomyces ambofaciens. RNAcentral describes it as "bacterial SSU rRNA". It matches the Rfam family "Bacterial small subunit ribosomal RNA", at positions 231 to 875 of the family's 1533-position model. The record is from RNAcentral. Lineage: Bacteria; Bacillati; Actinomycetota; Actinomycetes; Kitasatosporales; Streptomycetaceae.
UCGCGGCCUAUCAGCUUGUUGGUGAGGUAGUGGCUCACCAAGGCGACGACGGGUAGCCGGCCUGAGAGGGCGACCGGCCACACUGGGACUGAGACACGGCCCAGACUCCUACGGGAGGCAGCAGUGGGGAAUAUUGCACAAUGGGCGAAAGCCUGAUGCAGCGACGCCGCGUGAGGGAUGACGGCCUUCGGGUUGUAAACCUCUUUCAGCAGGGAAGAAGCGAAAGUGACGGUACCUGCAGAAGAAGCGCCGGCUAACUACGUGCCAGCAGCCGCGGUAAUACGUAGGGCGCAAGCGUUGUCCGGAAUUAUUGGGCGUAAAGAGCUCGUAGGCGGCUUGUCACGUCGGUUGUGAAAGCCCGGGGCUUAACCCCGGGUCUGCAGUCGAUACGGGCAGGCUAGAGUUCGGUAGGGGAGAUCGGAAUUCCUGGUGUAGCGGUGAAAUGCGCAGAUAUCAGGAGGAACACCGGUGGCGAAGGCGGAUCUCUGGGCCGAUACUGACGCUGAGGAGCGAAAGCGUGGGGAGCGAACAGGAUUAGAUACCCUGGUAGUCCACGCCGUAAACGGUGGGCACUAGGUGUGGGCAACAUUCCACGUUGUCCGUGCCGCAGCUAACGCAUUAAGUGCCCCGCCUG